Molecule: long non-coding RNA, 170 nt
Filed under: Carlito syrichta (Philippine tarsier)
Lineage: Eukaryota; Metazoa; Chordata; Mammalia; Primates; Tarsiidae
Description: ST7 overlapping transcript 4 conserved region 2 (ENSTSYG00000025521.1)
Rfam family: ST7 overlapping transcript 4 conserved region 2
Source: RNAcentral
GGAUAGUUUCCCUGGGAGGCAGAUAGGAUUCUGCACCCUAGGAUUGUUCACCUUUUAAAAAUGGGUCCUGCUCAGCCCUUUUGGAUUCACUCACCGAAAGGUCAUGACUUUCUGGCUUUUCAUCUUUUUGGAUGGCUGCUUGUCACAAUGUCUUCUUUGCUUUAGGCAGC